CGGGGGAGGCGGGAUCCUGGGCUGUGUCCCGGCGCCCUGUGCCCUGUGCCCUGCGCUGUUGGAUUCGCGCUCCCGGCCUUGCAGCCCCCU
Molecule: microRNA precursor, 90 nt
Filed under: Canis lupus familiaris (dog)
Lineage: Eukaryota; Metazoa; Chordata; Mammalia; Carnivora; Canidae
Also listed under: 1 other name
Description: mir-8799 microRNA precursor family
Rfam family: mir-8799 microRNA precursor family
Source: Rfam by way of RNAcentral